UGAAAGAAGACCUGCACAUCUACCUUGCUC
Molecule: non-coding RNA, 30 nt
Filed under: Mus musculus (house mouse)
Lineage: Eukaryota; Metazoa; Chordata; Mammalia; Rodentia; Muridae
Source: RNAcentral